UCCUGCCCGUCCACCGAACGGUCGGCAGGCGAUCCGCGUCGGUCGUGCUGGGUGGUAUGGUUCCCCAGAGGCCGGUUCUUGUGCUGCCUACCCCUUCAGGGGAAGCGGGCCACUUGACGUAAGGCUCCAUCCGGCGCCCUCCAACGGGCGCAGGAGGACAACGGAGCACCCCCCGCGUUCCACCGGGCCUGCCUCGGUCGCGUGGCGCGCGGGGACGUGCGAUGCUCUCGGACCCAGCGAACGCCGUGGGCGAGGACUCACGUCCCAGUCCCUAUAGAAGCUCCCAUAUAAUGCAUGACGGCCGCUCCCGCCCCCCGACCGCCCCGACGGCGAGGGGGUGAGGCGCGGCGUCGCGGAGGAAUGC
RNAcentral lists this unclassified non-coding RNA (364 nucleotides) under Acacia pachycarpa. RNAcentral's name for it is "partial external transcribed spacer". The record is from RNAcentral. Lineage: Eukaryota; Viridiplantae; Streptophyta; Magnoliopsida; Fabales; Fabaceae.